UUUCCCAGAAGUUCCUUCUGGCUGCCACAGCCAGGGCCAGCCCUGCUGCCCUGGCACCCCAGCCCAUCCACCCUGUACCCAUUGCCCAGGGGGACCCACAUAGGGAGGGUGCAUGGCUGAGCGGCUGGGAGCAGGAUGGGCAGGCAGGGCUGGAGAGACCCCGGGAUCUUGGGGAGGUGACAGCAUGGGGCUGAGGCAGAGCUGUGAUCUACUGCCUGCAUGCCCUACAAUGGGUGCUGGUUCCAUGGGCAGGGGCGUGCAGGGAGCAGAUCACAACCCUGCACUGUCACCACCCCAAGAUUCUGGCUCCAGAGUAGAUCCCUGCCCCAGCAAUGGACCCUGCCCACACAGUGCCUGGACGGUUACCAUGGAGACCCCGGGAACAGCAGGACCAUGACAGUGCGGGGCCGGGGCAAAGCCCUUGGUUCUGCAGCACCACACUGUCACAGCCCUUCAUUGUCAUGGCCCCAGCACUCCUGGGGGCUCUAUGGAGACCAGCUGGGAACCACACAGGCAAGGCAGCAGCUGCUGGCUGGGGCUCCACCAUUUUGCCCACCCCUAUUAUAUACCUUAGGUAUCUUUAUUUUAUUUUAUAAGUUAUUUUGUCUUGUAUUGUAAGCAUUUCAGAGGGAAGUGAGGCAUAUAAAUCUAAUAAAUAAAUUACUGGAGCAAAUUAUAAAACAAUCAAUAUGCUAAUAGCUACAAGAGGAAGAGGUAACUCCUAGCAGCCAAUGUGGACUUAUGAGGAAGAAAUCAUGUUAAACUAACUGAAUUUCCUUUGACAGGGCAACUAGGUGAGAAGAGAAGCUAAAAAAUUAGACUGUAAAAUGUCAAAUAUUGGCAGAGAUACUUAGGGGCAGAUAUAAUAUAGAGACUGUACUAUAUGGAAACUGGCUGGGUAGAUAUGCACCUUAUAGACUAACUAAAUAAAUAUAUAAAGAGAGCACAAGGUUUUGUGUACCCAAGUUCACUUCAUCAGAUGCUGUGAACGGACAAGCAUAGAGCAGUGUUUGCAGUGGAGUGAGUGAUUUGAAUACAAAAGGUGGAAGAAGAGGAGGGAGAAGGAGGGUGGAGAAGGACAAUGUUAGAAGCAACAAACAAAUAAAGAACCCAGUGGAACAAAGGCCUCAUGAAAGCCAACUCAGAUAAUGGGAUAAGAAUCCAUAGUCUCUGUUUAAACCACACCUAACACAGUCCAGUCUGUGUAUGAUUUCUUGUUCCUCAAUAUCCUGUUCAAACUGGUGUUUCAGAUUUUGCUGCCUGAGAACAGCUUCCCUGAGGUUAGUGGUGUCCAAGGAGGUUAAGGUGUUCUGAUGCAGAAAAUAUUAAUUUUCGUGACUAUGAAUAGGUAUAUGUGUUUACACAAUAUGCAAAGCAAUUAAGAACAGGGCACCAUUUUUAAAAGCUUGGAAUACAAUACAUUUUAGUAGGAUUUUAUAACUACAAGUGAACUAUAGGGAACAGGGGUAGAUCCAGGGAGGUGGGGGUUGGGGUGCAGUCAACCCCUCUUCCCCCCUCUUUGAUUCCUGCUCCACUGAAAUUUUAAAACAAACUACCAAGCAGGGACAUCCCGUUUUCUGUGCAUGUGGAGCUGAGAGAGUUAACUGACUUCAUGGCUCAUUAUUAUCUACUUGAUUUUUGCUAAUCUCUUCACUUCUUAGGUGUUAACAAUGCUUGAUCUUCUAAUCACCAAGCUUUUCUUCUACAAUUGUCUCUUAUCUACUAAUGUUUCUCUGCUCGCUUCCCUACCUCCGGCAUGUUCAGUUGUGGUGUGCUGCUACCAAGGAAACAAUACUGAGUGGCUUUGUUUGGAGGGGAUUCAAACCCACAAAAAAUCAGACAGGAAAGGGAGGGGCAGAGCUAAAAGUUGGCUGAGCUGUGCAGUGGCAGUCAGAGGCAGGAGAGAGUUGCGAAGGUGAGGGGAAGAGGAGCAGCAACAGCAGCUGGGAAAGGAAGUUUCGUAUCUUGAUGGCUUGACAAGAAUAUGUCAAAAUGGACCAAUAUGUAUGAUAAGCAGAUUGGAACUGAUCAAACUGCAAAAGGAAAGGAAGGGGAAGCAGCAACAAAUAGAUACCGUUUGGAGGAAAUAGCAGAACUGAAAACUUGCAUCAAGAGGGUAAAGUAUGAAAGUGACUCUCAUGGUUCUAAAUUAGAAAAUUAAAAAUACAACUUUAAUAGCAGAAAAUGUAAAGGCAGUUCAUCCUUUCUGUCAAAGUCAUGUAUACAUCUCAAUGUCUUUUCAGAAUUCCUUUCAUUAUGUAUUUCUUGAGGGUUUAACAUCUGCAAGCAGACAUAAUAACUAAUGUCAUUAUGUUAAUUGUUUCACUUUUACAUUGCUCUCUACAUUAUUUGUAAAUCAGUAGAUCUCAGCUGAGAUACUGAGGUGCCCCUUUAAAGAUCCUUUGAUGGGUGAUGUGGCACCUGGCCCCUGUGUAAGGAGGUAAGUGCUGGCUCCGUAGCUGGUGGGAAGAGCUACAGGGGAGUCCCCAGAGGAGCAGCUGUAGCUAUGGGGGCUAUGCUGUCCCUCUAAGGGGAAAAUGCAGAAAAGAAAAAAAAAAUGAGCAGGCAUGGCAGGAUCCUGCCCUUACUUGGCACCUAUACCAAACUCUGCAUCCAGUGGCUCUUGUCACUCCCUUCCUCAUCUUGUAGGGAUAGCUACCUCCCUUAGGGGUCUAGUGACCCACCCCUGAACUCCCCAGUCUGCCACACUGAGCAGUCCAUACCAUUGCUAAACAAGGUGAACCACCUCUGCCAUGCUCUGAAGGGGUACCCUGCCCAUUGCUACUUGCCCUGCCACCCCAUGAGAUCCUUUUAAGGGUGCCACAGGGUGCGAGAAGGUGAGUGCUUCAGGAAAUAAAUUGAUUUUUGAAGGGGUGCCACUAUAUUCCAAAAAAUUAUGAAACGUGCCUCAAGUCUAAAAAGGUUGAGAACCAUUGUUUUACACUGAACUCUACCGCCUUUAGAAAGAACUUUGGGCCUUACAUAUUUGGUUGUGAUGCUUGAUUUUGUUGAUUUUUUUGUCUUACACUGAUGUAGUAACAUUUCUGUUUUUGUAGAUGAGCACAGAAAAUGGUUCUCUGCUGGAGAAAAUGAAAGUACUUCAGAAAGCCACAGACAAUAAGUCUCCCAGGUGUUGUUUGUUGUUAGCUGUUCACAAGAGUACAGAAACUCUAACAAUUUCCCAGUACAGUUCUUUUGACUGUGGAUCAGAAAGCACCCAUUGCUUUGAUAGCUGUCAUGUGGCUACAUGCAUUUCCAUGCAAUGUGUUGCUGGGACAACCUUAGUGGAGGAAGAUAUAAGCUGAAUGAAAGAAAUGUAUAAACAGCUGUAAGAACUGAUUUUGUAUUUGUUGUUAUGAAAAUAAAUGAAGGGGCCUGGAUACAAUUUUCCCACUGGAAAGUUCAUAGGGGAGUGAAACACAGCAAGGAGCUCAGCAAGUAUAGAACUAGAACAAUGACAAUUUGGUACAGCCAAUUGUGUUUAUAAAAGUCUGGGGAGAUAGGUAAAACGGUGAUUAUUUACAUGAUAAUGGUGACCAGUCCUAACAGGACUAUUUAUGUGAAAUGAAGUGGUGCACAUGUUUUGGAGCUCUUGGGAAGGACUCCUGAAACUGUUUCAGGUGUCUAGGGCCAGGGCUGUGUCCUUAGGUGUGUUUGGGCAACACUUGGCACAAUGGGGCCUUGGUCUUUGGAGUCUCUUGAUUCCACAGAACAGAAAAUGGCUAUUUGGACUUCUCCUGGGAUUCAUGAUAGGGCCAUUUGCAAGCAAAGCUCUGCUACAAUCCUAACUAUAAUUGCAAAGGUGUCAUAACAAAUAUUCAAACCAAUUUCCAUGGAAACCUCAAUUUCAUCUCUGAAUUUUAGCAUGUUUUAAGACAGCAGGAGUGGUAAAAAUCAUGUAGUGGUUGUAUGCAUGGAGAAAUGCUUAUUCUUUGCAUUAACUCUUUAUUGGCUCAAAUUUCUGUGUAUAUGAGAAAAUUAUGCAUGCAAAUUUAGAGACUUUUAAAAAAUGUUAUCUCCCCUGUAAAAUGCUUGAAUCAGAUUCACAUUUGGGUUUCCGUUCUCAUUUCCUCUCAGCAUAAAUAUGAGUCUGAGAGACACAACAGCGAAAUGAUUCCAAAGCAUAUAGCAAUUUUAAACACGGAUCCUUUAAUAAAAGAGUAAGUUUUUAAAAUCCUCUCUGUACAAAGUUGCAAUUGCUAAUCAUUUGUUUAAUUUGGAUUUACAGUGUAAUGUACAAUAUAAUCAUUUUUAUUCUUUAAGGAAAUGAGAACCUAACUUUCUACUUGAUAUUAUGUUAAUAACGUACCCAAGAAGGUAGUUUCUAGAAGAAGCAAUGCCGUACAUCAAAAGAACGCUAAGAAAAGUGGAGUAAAUUUAGAAGACAGAAACUGAGAAACAGAAAGCAGCUCAGAGAGACUUGUUAUCCAGCCAGAACAUGGGAUUUAAUGUAAUACUCCACAAAUAGGUUUGCUGCUGUGUCUAGAGGUCAGUGGAAACAUGAUUAGUUCUGUCUUAGAGAUGUUUAAACUUGGAUGCCUAACUCUGGUGCUAGGAAAGUGCAUGCAGAACCUCCUGAUUUCAGUGGGAGAUGAACAUUGGCAUGUAGGGCAACAAUACACAUGGCUCUUAGGAGGAGAGUAUUCACUCAGGCCUUGUACCUUCAGGAUUUAUAAUGUCACUGACAUUUCUUUUUUUUUUUUUGUAGAGCUUGCUGCUGCUGAAAGCAUGUUUGCUGUAAUUUACAUUGAAUAUCAAGCAAAACUAGGUAACUUGUGUCACAGAUCUGACCAAACACUUUUUACUGGUGACUCACAAGACUGCUGUGAGAUCAGCCAGCCUCUGUGUCUCCUGGGUGAUCUGAGCUUUCAAAUGGGCCUCUCAGCACAUUCUCAAGGUGCAGAUCAUCUGCCUUUUACUCCCUUGCUAGAGUGCAAAUGUGAAGUCUUAACUAGCUGUGCCCUGAGUUAAUGUUGCCUGUGGGCAUGCAGAGGCUUCAGCUUAAGUGUUCAGGAGGAUGCAAUAGGUGUAGACAGACAAAUCGAGACAGUCUUUGUGCAGAGUUUCUAAGCACACGUUACUGCUCUCAGUCGUGUGAGAAACACAGUUCAUUCAGAAAACAAGUGUGCAUACUGAGUGCAGUGCUCCUCAAUCAGCUCACCCUUCCUUAGGGGAUGUGUCUUAUGUCAGGUGACAUCUGGAUCUGCCUUAAGAAAAGGCCACUACUCUACCAGGUAAGGACAGUAUUAUGCCAUUUUUCCUCUGAUUAAAACUGUCCCCUAGGAUCAGAGUUGUUUUAGUGUGAGUACAUGUCACUGGUAGAACAUUUAAGUAAUUGACCCUCUAGUAUUAACCCUUGUUUUAGUAAUUUAAGAGAAAGGAUGUAACAUAAGCAUGUUCAGGGAUUUAUGCCUGCUCAGACAUGAUACAGUCUGUGCUGGCUCAGACACAAACUUUAACCCAAACACAGUCCAUCAAGGGUUAACUCCCAGGUCUGAGUCUCUUCAGAACCCGGGAAGGUGACUCUGGCUUACUGCUGCAAUCUUCUCUCUCAGGCUGGCUGUGACUCAGUUCCCUGCCCUGGUAUCACUGCUCCCAAUCUCACAGCACUUCGGUCUCUUCCUAGACCCAAAGAGUAGAGUCUGUAAUCCUAUAUUGCAGCCACUGGCCAGACUCUCACAGUCUAUCCAUCUGUCUGUCUCUGCCUUUCUCUCCCUGGGAGCCUUUUACUUCCUGUGGGCCAGCUAAUUAUCUCCUUCAGCUGGCCCAGUCCUCCUGAGCAGCCUGUAAUUAGCAUUACUGCUCACAGCUGGGCUACAGCCUCUGGCCCCACAGCCUACUACAGUCUGCCACAGGUAGUUGCAGGACAGGGUGGCACCUUUAAGGUUAGGCUGUACCCUAUGGAAAGCUUAUGCUUUUCUGAAGGAGUUAGUGGUACCACGCAGCCUCAUCUUUGGCCUUAGGAAUUUUACUAAAGGACAGACAAAAAGACAACAGGAAGGUAAAGACCAGCCUUACAAUGGAAAUGGAAUUUGCAUUGUAAUACAGGUGUGUGCAGGAUGCAUAAUCACCAACAGAAUUCUUUGAUUUCCCAAAUCUUCACAAAUAUUUUAAGUGAUAUUUCUGUUUUUCUCAGAAAUUUUCUGUUGCUGAAAACACAUCACUUAAGGUUACCUUACACUUCAAUGAUAGAUGAAAUGAUAUCCAUUGGUAGUGGAUAAAUGGAAAUACAGUGCUUCGAUUACAAAUAAUAGACAUAUAGAAGCAUUUUUACAUAAGGAUAUGGAAUUAGAAGGGAUGUCUUGGGUCACUGAGUCCAGUUCCCUGCUAUUACAGACAACUUUACAAUACUGUAUUUAUAAGCUGAUCAAGCACAGCCUUAAAGUGAAGGCAAGAAACCAAACUGUUUCCACGGGCAGGAUGUUCCAUAACCAUACUGAUCUAAUGGUCAGAAAUCUUCCAGCCUGCAUUUAUUCAUGGGUAAUUUAUAUCCAUUUGUUUUUGUGCCAGCAUUGUCUUGUAGAUUAAGCAGCUCUUCUCUCUCCCUGGUCUUUACUUUCCUGACAUAUUCAUAGAGAGCAGUCAUAUCUCCUCAGACUUUAUUUUGCUAGGCUAAAUAAGCCAACUGUUUUAGUGUCCUGUUGUAAAGUAGGCUAAUCAUUACUCUUAUCAUUUUAGAAGCCCUUUUAUACCUUUUCCAGUUUGAUUUAAUCUUUUCUGAACAAGUGUGGUGAGAAUUGUGUUCUGCAUUCCAGAUCAGGUCUCACCAGUGCCUUCUCCAGUGGUACUAAUACUCCCCUGAUACAUCCAAUCAUAGCAUUUGCCUUUUUCAUGAUUAGAACACAUGGGCGAUGAAUCUCCUGCUGUCAUUUCCAGCUGAUGUGCCCUUGAGAAAAAAAAAUUCUUACUUGUCCUUAAGUGCAUAGCCAAUCAGACAUCAUCCCAUAUCUGUUACAUCAGCCCUCAAGCUUAUUCAUUUCCUCCUGUAUAAUAAUGACUAUCAUUUCUGCUGAUGAUGCUUUUCAAUGUUUUAUCUAAACGAACUAGCACACUCCUACUGUUUGUGGAGAGUUUAUUAAAGAAAAUAUUAAGUAAGAGUGUCCCAACACUAAUCUUUGAGGAACACCACUUGCAACUUCCCUCUAGCCCAAUAAUUCUCCUUUCAACACAAACCAUUAUCAUUUCCCAUUUAGCCAGUUCUUAUCCAGUUUACCUUAUUUCUCAUGUGGUACCAGAUCAAAUGAAUGUCAGAUGGUUUUCUGAAGUCUGACCAUAUCAUAUCUACUACUUUCCCCCUGUCUACAAAAUCAGUUAUGUUAUCAAAGAAAGAUAUGUUUGUCUGUACAAUCUUCUUUUGCAUUUUAUUCCAUUUUACCCUUUUUAUCUCAUCUGACCUCAUGAGGUCCCUUCCUGCCUUAUUUUUCUAUGAUCCUGUGAUCUCUAAAUCUUAAAUCAUUCUUUCUUUCAAAUUUUGCCAUAAUGCCUUGCAUAUUAUUGAGACUGGACCAACAGCCUGGUUGUCUAGAUAACUAUCCCUCCAUCCCUUCUUAAAUAUAAAUAUCACUAUGCUGUUUUCCAGUUAUUAGAGAUGAUUGCCGGCUUACUAGAAUUAUUAAAAAUAUUUCUUACUGGCACUGAUAUUUCAUUUGUCAGUUCUUUCAGAAUUAUGGGAUAGAGAAUUUUUGGUCCCUUUUGACUGGAUGCAUUUGUUACCACCUUGUAUGUGGUAAUUUCUGUUCCCACUAGUCAUCCUGCCCUUUACCCUCCAUGGUCAUUAUCAUUGUCUCAGUUUUCGAACUGGGACAAUGAUAAAGUGUUUAGUUUUUGGGCCAUACCAAGACUUCUACCCCUGGCCCAAUUUCUACCCCUGCCACUUCAUGGCAGCUCCCUGUCUUGUUCUUGUUUUAAUUCCAUGGCAGAACCAGCUUUUACUCUUUAACUAGACCUUGCACAAGAAAUUAAUCUUGACUUUGGCCAUUUUUACUUUAUCCCUACCCUUCGUGAUGUAACGUUUGUUAACCAGGCUCUUUUCCAUUACCUGUAAGCUCUCUGCUUACUCAAAAUAUCCUUUUCUUGGGUGGGUACCCAAUUAGGUAGAUAGUCCUAUCUUACAUGUUUUGCUGUUGCCUGCAUUGCAAGUUACAGGCAACUUUCGUACCUUUGGUAAAAAGAAAUUCCAGAUUGCUUCAAUGCUCAAGUUCCUGGGCUCCAUAGUCCUCCUGUGCCUAUUAAUUUGAUUCCUAAAGCUUUUCAAAAUGUACCCUUCUGAAGUCAGGAACCUUGCUUAUAGGACCAUUUCUAUUAAUCCUUCCAUUUAAAAUAAAUUGAAUUAACUCAUGAUCACUCAAUCCAGAUGUCUUGUAAUAUAUUCACUGCUUUUCAAAGCCAAGUCUAAAAUAAUAACACCUCUUAUUGGUACAAUGACUGCUUGUUGAAGAAAUCUUUUGGCUCUCACAUCCAUGAAUAUCAUCGUGCUACUAUUCUUAGUCGUAUUAAUUUUUCAGUCCACCUGGGAAGUUAGUCUUUCACAAUGGCACAAUUACUACUACUGUUAUUAUUUCUAAUAAGAUUAAAGAAAUCCUUGCCCAUAUCCAAAGCUGACCUAUAGCAGACCCUUUGCACCAUCUCACUAACAUUUUUCCUACCGUCAUCUCCCAAAAGGAUUUUGACCCAAAUUGAUUUUAUCCAUGUCACCCCUUAUAUUUUUUUAAUCUCUCACAUCAUUUGUGUGUAAUGCUUACCUACCACCUUUGUGUUUACUUCUGUCAUGAACAACAGCUGCCUUUCACUACCCAUGUUCCAAUCACUACUGCUAUCCACCAUUUCUCUUUCCUCUGUAAUAUCUGGUUUCACGUCCUGCCCCUCUAAAUCUAGUUCCUCUAUUCUGUUGGACAAGUUUCUUGCAUUGGCGGUCAAAUAUUUCAGUUAUUUCUCACUGACCUUGUCCACUAUUUUUGCUGAAUACAUCUGAGCCUAGCAACUGUAUCUUCCACCUGACUACUACCAAUGCCAGUACUGUAUAAGGACUUUUCUUUCAUAUAUAUGUACAAUUCCAUAUUGUACUGUUAUUGAAAUAAAGUGAAUGCAGUGUAA
Molecule: long non-coding RNA, 9093 nt
Organism: Alligator mississippiensis (American alligator)
Lineage: Eukaryota; Metazoa; Chordata; Crocodylia; Alligatoridae
Exons: 4
Source: RefSeq, a predicted model, not a curated record